Haliotis rufescens (red abalone) is the source of this 1363-nucleotide long non-coding RNA. RefSeq lists it as uncharacterized. The record is from RefSeq and is a predicted model, not a curated record. NCBI's taxonomy places the organism in Eukaryota, Metazoa, Mollusca, Gastropoda, Lepetellida, Haliotidae. The transcript is spliced from 3 exons.
AGCUGAGGUGAGGUGGUCAUAUAUCUUGUAUAUCACAUAGCUGAGGUGAGGUAGUCAUAGCACUUGUAUAUUACUGAGAUGAGGUGGUCAUAUAUCUUGUAUAUCAUAUAGCUGAGGUGAGGUGGUCAUAUAUCUUGAUUAUCACAAAGCUGAGGUGAGGUGGUCAUAUAUCUUGUAUAUCUCAUAGCUGAGGUGAGGUGGUCAUAUAUCUUGUAUAUCAUAUAGCUGAGGUGAGGUGGUCAUAUAUCUUGUAUAUCAUAUAGCUGAGGUGAGAUGGUCAUAUAUUUUGAAUAUAACAUAGCUGGGAUGAGGUGGUCAUAUAUCUUGUAUAUCACAUAGUUGAGGUGAGGUGGUCAUAUAUCUUGUAUAUCAUAUAGCUGAGGUGAGGUGGUCAUAUAUCUUGUAUAUCACAUAGCUGAAGUGAGGUGGUCAUAUCACCUGUAUAUCACAUAGCUGAGGUGAGGUGGUCAUAUGUCUUGUAUAUCACAUAGCUGAGGUGAGGUGGUCAUAUAUCUUCUAUAUCACAUAGCUGAGGAGGUCAUAUCACCUGUAUAUCAUAUAGCUGAGGUGAGGUGGUCAUAUAUCUUGUAUAUAACAUAGCUGAGGUGAGGUGGUCAUAUAUCUUGUAUAUCAUAUAGCUGAGGUGAGGUGGUCAUAUAUCUUGUUUUAAACAUAGCUGAGGUGAGGUGGUCAUAUAUCUUGUAUAUAACAUAGCUGAGGUGAGGUGGUCAUAUAUCUUGUAUAUCACAUAGCUGAGGUGAGGUGGUCAUAUAUCUUGUAUAUCACAUAGCUGAGGUGAGGUGGUCAUAUAUCGUGUAUAUCACAUAUCUGACAUGAGGUGGACAUAUAACUUGUUUUUACCACUAGAGGUGUCUUUUGUCCAUUAACAAUCCCGGACAAUUUGAUUGGGAAAAGCGGGUAACAAGCCUUGGUCCAGGGUUUUGUGUUGCUGCAUAAAGCGCGUCACCUAGCUGAGGAGAGGUGUCACAUCACUUACAGUCAUAGUAUUGAAUGGGUUGGAUUUACAAAGGGUUAGGUCCAGCAGAGCAGAUUCAUAAUAUGAUCGUUUGUGGAUGGCUUAUUCCCAAUGUAAUGGUUACCCAAUGGGUUUUUUCUACAUUCUAUCCUGGGCCCAUUUGCUAUCAUGGCUUAGUUUUGAAAGUGAUGUCAAGCUCCCUGAUCAGUUACCUCCUUAGAAGCUUGGGUGUACAGUUGGUCCUUAGUAACCUAUGGUUGAUGUAAUAAACAGCUUAAUGGAUCUUGUGGUCAGACUCAGUGACAUGGUUGAAUGAGCGUCAUCAUACCCUGAUGGAUUGGGAUGUUGUUCAUAAUGUCAACCACUGGUUUCUCUGGGCCAGAAGCU